GCCAUCGUCAAUAAUGUUCUGCAUAGGCCUUACUUACCUCAGAUCAUCAUGAAGAGUCAAGCUGGACUGGUGCACCGGGAUACCGGAAAUAUUACUGGUGGACUGGUAUAUCUUCAAGGGCAGUGCACUUCCCCCUAGGGGUGACCAGCAGGAUGGGAGUGCACAGCCACAGUAACUACAUGUAGCAUGGCCGAGCGGUCGUUAAUAG
Pelobates cultripes (western spadefoot toad) is the source of this 208-nucleotide non-coding RNA. The record is from the annotation of a GenBank genome assembly. Lineage: Eukaryota; Metazoa; Chordata; Amphibia; Anura; Pelobatidae.